GAAACAAACUUUUAAGUAAAUUCACAAUUUUAACGUUUUUAUAUAGUUUGGGGUUUUGUUUGUCAAUACUGUAAAUAUACAUAUUGUUUGUAUUGAUUAACUUUAUUUCUAUGGGACUUUAAAUUCCCUUAUUUUAUAUUUUCAAAAAGGGUCUGUUUUCACAUAUUCAGGCAAAAUGUGAUUUGAUGGUUACCAUGGCAACGGACAUAAUACAGGGAAAAUAAAGACAGAAUUUUACCCAUCUACCAAAGUUCUUAUGAUACAGGGCAAAAAAAAAAAUACUUCUGUGACAUGUCAUGAAUCACCUUCUGCAUGGUUUUUACAAAGACCGGUACUUAAAAGCGGAUUGAUAAAGAACAAUGAGGAUGUGCAAUGAAUUCUAAACAAAAUACUCGAUGUAUAUAAUUAUUUGAUGUGUAGGCUGUAAAGCUAAGAAUAAUUUAAUCAUGAUGUAAUGCGUCUUCUGAUUGGC
RNAcentral lists this long non-coding RNA (472 nucleotides) under Mytilus galloprovincialis (Mediterranean mussel). The record is from RNAcentral. Lineage: Eukaryota; Metazoa; Mollusca; Bivalvia; Mytilida; Mytilidae.